AUGUAUGAACAUGUAUAUAAUUAUUUUUAUAGCAAUCUUAAAUAUGUACGCAUAAAUCAUUUCGAUACCAAUGUUAAUAGAUCAGAUAUUCUUUCCACAAAAUACUUGAGAUAUUGGAAGCAAUUAAAGAUCAAUAAUUCAUACCCAGCAAAAAUGAUGGUCUCACCUAAUAUUGAGUAUUGUUUAGGGCUGCGUAUACUCAAAUUUAAAAUGAAUCAAUUCUAUAGUCGUAGACUCAACACACUUAUUUUGUAUGAGAUGAGGGAACUCCGCAGCUAG
Molecule: long non-coding RNA, 279 nt
Filed under: Prunus dulcis (almond)
Lineage: Eukaryota; Viridiplantae; Streptophyta; Magnoliopsida; Rosales; Rosaceae
Description: sRNA ncRNA
Source: RNAcentral